This 443-nucleotide ribosomal RNA is filed under the name uncultured bacterium. Its description in RNAcentral is "partial 16S ribosomal RNA". It matches the Rfam family "Bacterial small subunit ribosomal RNA", at positions 338 to 795 of the family's 1533-position model. The record is from RNAcentral.
CCUACGGUGUGCAGCAGUGGGGGAUAUUGGACAAUGGGGGGAACCCUGAUCCAGCGACGCCGCGUGAGUGAAGAAGUAUUUCGGUAUGUAAAGCUCUGUCAGCAGGGAAGAAAGAAAUGACGGUACCUGACCACGAAGCCCCGGCUAACUCCGUGCCAGCAGCCGCGGUAAUACGUAGGGGGCAAGCGUUAUCCGGAAUUACUGGGUGUAAAGGGAGCGUAUACGGUUAAGUACGUCUUGAGUGAAAGUCCGGGGCCCAACCCCGGGACUGCUCUGGAAACUAUUGACCUUGAGUGCAGGAGAGGUAAGCGGAAUUCGUAGGGUAGCGGGGAAAUGCGGAGAUAUUAGGAGGAAAACCAGGGGCGAAGGCGGCUUACUGGACUGUAACUGACGUUGAGGCUCGAAAGCGUGGGGAGCAAACAGGAUUAGAUACCCGUGUAGUC